GACGAACGCUGGCGGCGUGCUUAACACAUGCAAGUCGAACGGAAAGGCCCUGCUUUUGUGGGGUGCUCGAGUGGCGAACGGGUGAGUAACACGUGAGUAACCUGCCCUUGACUUUGGGAUAACUUCAGGAAACUGGGGCUAAUACCGGAUAGGAGCUCCUGCUGCAUGGUGGGGGUUGGAAAGUUUCGGCGGUUGGGGAUGGACUCGCGGCUUAUCAGCUUGUUGGUGGGGUAGUGGCUUACCAAGGCUUUGACGGGUAGCCGGCCUGAGAGGGUGAACGGGCACAAUGGGACUGAGAUACGGCGCAGAAGCCUACGGGAGGCAGAAGUGGGGAAUAUUGCACAAUGGGGGGAAGCCUGAUGCAGCAACGCCGCGUGCGGGAUGACGGCCUUCGGGUGGUAAACCGAUUUCGCCGGUGACGAAGCGUGAGUGACGGUAAUGGGUAAAGAAGCACCGGCUAACUACGUG
This 468-nucleotide ribosomal RNA is filed under the name uncultured bacterium. Its description in RNAcentral is "partial 16S ribosomal RNA". It matches the Rfam family "Bacterial small subunit ribosomal RNA", at positions 28 to 507 of the family's 1533-position model. The record is from RNAcentral.